UACGUAGGGCGCAAGCGUUGUCCGGAAUUAUUGGGCGUAAAGAGCUCGUAGGCGGCCUGUUGCGUCCGCUGUGAAAUCCCGGGGCUCAACCCCGGACCUGCAGUGGAUACGGGCUGGCUAGAGGCAGGCAGGGGAGAACGGAAUUCCUGGUGUAGCGGUGAAAUGCGCAGAUAUCAGGAGGAACACCGGUGGCGAAGGCGGUUCUCUGGGCCUGUACUGACGCUGAGGAGCGAAAGCGUGGGGAGCGAACAGG
RNAcentral lists this ribosomal RNA (253 nucleotides) under uncultured bacterium. Its description in RNAcentral is "partial 16S ribosomal RNA". It matches the Rfam family "Bacterial small subunit ribosomal RNA", at positions 524 to 776 of the family's 1533-position model. The record is from RNAcentral.